Xenia sp. Carnegie-2017 is the source of this 839-nucleotide long non-coding RNA. RefSeq lists it as uncharacterized. The record is from RefSeq and is a predicted model, not a curated record. The transcript is spliced from 2 exons. Lineage: Eukaryota; Metazoa; Cnidaria; Anthozoa; Malacalcyonacea; Xeniidae.
GAGAUAGUUUCUUACAAGCUUUAAGACCACUAUUAAGUUGUGGCAUAUUGCAUUUUAUCAAAAGUGCUUCUAAGAUGAGAAGUUGAUUAGGAUUAUUAUUUUUACAGCAAUAUAAGAUUUUGGUGUUACUUGGAAUCAAAUUACAAGGAUUAAGUGGCACGCGUGUGAGAUUGGGGUUGGAAUCAACGUCAGGAAGUGAAAAAAGGUUUGAUGGGAAUUUUUAAGCUAUGGCAAAUUUUACGAAGAAGUUUGACAACCAAACGUUCACCCUGUUUGCCUAGAUAUGGUAUUCUAAUGAAAAUUUUAUGAAGGUCAUUCUCAGUAUUUUUUUAAGGGGGGUUCUUUUUAGCUAUGAUUUUGGUUUUGAGUUUAUGAAUCAAGAAUUUCCAGACUGUAAGAGGGAAACCAUUCCAUGACAUAAAAGACUGGAGUGUUUGAAUUUGUUUUUUGAAUAGUGUUUGGUUAGAACAAAUCUUAAAUGCACGAAAAAAUAGGGAAUUGAUCCAAGUAGUUUUGCGGUUGAAAGGUUUGAAACUUGAAAAAUGUGUAUACUGGCCAGUAUGAGUUGUUUUACGAAAUAUAUCAAUGUCAUUAUUGGUUAUUUUGAGGUCUAGAAAGUGGACAUGUGAGUCAGAAAAAUCAUCAAAAGUAAAUUUAAGAUUUUUAUCAAAACUAUUAAAUUUGGCAUGUUUCCUCAUGUUCUUGCCUGAUUGUUUAGUCUUAUAGUUCUCUAAUUACAUAACUGUAAUUUCCGCUUGUAAAAAUAUAAACGUUUCGCAGCCUGCAUUGUAAACCAUAAGUCUGAUGAGUCUUUGGAAUAAAGACGAAAUAUUACACCA